This 253-nucleotide ribosomal RNA is filed under the name uncultured bacterium. RNAcentral describes it as "partial 16S ribosomal RNA". It matches the Rfam family "Bacterial small subunit ribosomal RNA", at positions 524 to 776 of the family's 1533-position model. The record is from RNAcentral.
UACGUAGGGUGCAAGCGUUGUCCGGAAUUAUUGGGCGUAAAGAGCUCGUAGGCGGUCUGUCGCGUCUGCUGUGAAAUCUCAGGGCUUAACCCUGAGCUUGCAGUGGGUACGGGCAGACUAGAGUCCGGAAGGGGCGAGUGGAAUUCCUGGUGUAGCGGUGAAAUGCGCAGAUAUCAGGAGGAACACCAAUGGCGAAGGCAGCUCGCUGGAACGGUACUGACGCUGAGGCGCGAAAGCGUGGGGAGCGAACAGG